Molecule: ribosomal RNA, 1482 nt
Filed under: uncultured bacterium
Lineage: Bacteria
Description: bacterial SSU rRNA
Rfam family: Bacterial small subunit ribosomal RNA
Source: RNAcentral
GAUGAACGCUAGCGGUGCGCCUAACACAUGCAAGUCGCGCGAUCGAACCGAACCAAUUACCCUUCGGGGUAAGCGGAUCGGCAACGGAGCGGCGGACUGGUGAGUAACACGUGGCUAACCUACCCUCUUGACGAGAAUAACCCUUCGAAAGGAAGGCUAAUACUCGAUAUUGUUUGAGUUCGAUGGAUCCUAAACCAAAGGCGGUUCUGCCGUCGCAAGGGGAGGGGGCUGCGCCCUAUUAGCUUGUUGGUGAGGUAACGGCUCACCAAGGCAAUGAUGGGUAGCUGGUCUGAGAAGAUGAUCAGCCUCAUUGGGACUGAAAUACGGCCCAGACUCCUACGGGAGGCAGCAGUGGGGAAUCUUUCGCAAUGGACGAAAGUCUGACGGAGCGACACCGCGUGAGGGAUGAAUGCUUUCGAGUUGUAAACCUCUUUUCUGGGGGAAGAAUAAGGUCGCAAGGAAAUGUGCGUCCGAUGACGGUACCCUAGGAAUAAGCAUCGGCUAACUUCGUACCAGCAGCCGCGGUAAUACGAAGGAUGCAAGCGUUAUCCGGAAUUACUGGGCGUAAAGGGCGUCUAGGCGGUUGAGCAAGUCACCUGUAAAAGUCCACGGCUUAACUGUGGAAUGUCUGGUGAUACUGCUUGACUUGGGUACAGGAGAGGAGGGUGGAACUCACAGAGUAGCGGUGGAAUGCGUAGAUACUGUGAGGUACCCCGAUGGCGAAGGCAACCCUCUGGCCUGUUACCGACGCGGAAGCGCGAAAGCGUGGGGAGCGAAGGGGAUUAGAUACCCCCGUAGUCCACGCCGCAAACGAUGUUCACUGGGUGUCGGUCAUUAAUUAGAUCGGUGCCGGAGCUAACGCAUUAAGUGAACCGCCUGGGGACUACGGCCGCAAGGCUAAAACUCAAGAGAAUUGACGGGGCCCUGCACAAGCGGUGGAGCACGUGGUUUAAUUCGAUGAUAAGCGAAGAACCUUACCUGGACUUGACAUACUAGCAGUAGGAGCCAGAGAUGGUGACGACCCCUACCUUUGGUAGGGGAACUAGUACAGGUGAUGCAUGGCUGUCGUCAGCUCGUGUCGUGGGACGUUGGGUUAAGUCCCGAAACGAGCGCAACCCCUGUUGUUAGUUGCCAGCGGGUAAUGCCGGGGACUCUGACAAGACUGCUGGUGAAUAGCCGGAGGAAGGAGGGGAUGACGUCAAGUCAUCAUGUCCCUUAUGUCCAGGGCGACACACAUGCUACAAUGGGAGGUACAAAGGGCUGCUAAACCGCAAGGUCAUGCUAAUCCCAAAAAGCCUUCCUCAGUUCGGAUUGAGGUCUGCAACCCGACCUCAUGAAGCCGGAAUCGCUAGUAAUCGCAGGUCAGCCACACUGCGGUGAAUACGUACUCAGGGCUUGUACACACCGCCCGUCACACCAAUCGAGUAGAGGGGACCUGAAGUCGUCUUAUGGACGCCUAAGGUAACUUCUGUAAGAGGGGUG